GAUCAUGGCUCAGGAUGAACGCUGGCGGCGUGCCUAAUACAUGCAAGUCGAGCGAACAGACGAGGAGCUUGCUCCUCUGAUGUUAGCGGCGGACGGGUGAGUAACACGUGGAUAACCUACCUAUAAGACUGGGAUAACUUCGGGAAACCGGAGCUAAUACCGGAUAACAUGUUGAACCGCAUGGUUCAACAGUGAAAGACGGUCUUGCUGUCACUUAUAGAUGGAUCCGCGCCG
RNAcentral lists this ribosomal RNA (234 nucleotides) under uncultured bacterium. RNAcentral describes it as "partial 16S ribosomal RNA". It matches the Rfam family "Bacterial small subunit ribosomal RNA", at positions 15 to 238 of the family's 1533-position model. The record is from RNAcentral.